GAUGAACUCUAGCGGGAGGCCUAACACAUGCAAGCCGAGCGGUAUUGUUUCUUCGGAAAUGAGAGAGCGGCGUACGGGUGCGGAACACGUGUGCAACCUGCCUUUAUCUGGGGGAUAGCCUUUCGAAAGGAAGAUUAAUACUCCAUAACAUAUUGAUUGGCAUCAAUUAAUAUUGAAAGCUCCGGCGGAUAGAGAUGGGCACGCGCAAGAUUAGCUAGUUGGUGAGGUAACGGCUCACCAAGGCGAUGAUCUUUAGGGGGCCUGAGAGGGUGAUCCCCCACACUGGUACUGAGACACGGACCAGACUCCUACGGGAGGCAGCAGUGAGGAAUAUUGGUCAAUGGGUGCAAGCCUGAACCAGCCAUCCCGCGUGAAGGACGACUGCCCUAUGGGUUGUAAACUUCUUUUGUAUAGGGAUAAACCUACCCUCGUGAGGGUAGCUGAAGGUACUAUACGAAUAAGCACCGGCUAACUCCGUGCCAGCAGCCGCGGUAAUACGGAGGGUGCAAGCGUUAUCCGGAUUUAUUGGGUUUAAAGGGUCCGUAGGCGGACUUAUAAGUCAGUGGUGAAAGCCUGUCGCUUAACGAUAGAACUGCCAUUGAUACUGUAAGUCUUGAGUAUAUUUGAGGUAGCUGGAAUAAGUAGUGUAGCGGUGAAAUGCAUAGAUAUUACUUAGAACACCAAUUGCGAAGGCAGGUUACCAAGAUAUAACUGACGCUGAGGGACGAAAGCGUGGGGAGCGAACAGGAUUAGAUACCCUGGUAGUCCACGCCGUAAACGAUGCUAACUCGUUUUUGGGCUUUAGGGUUCAGAGACCAAGCGAAAGUGAUAAGUUAGCCACCUGGGGAGUACGCUCGCAAGAGUGAAACUCAAAGGAAUUGACGGAGGCCCGCACAAGCGGUGGAUUAUAUGGUUUAAUUCGAUGAUACGCGAGGAACCUUACCAAGACUUAAAUGGGAAUUGACAGCUUUAGAAAUAGAGCUUUCUUCGGGCAAUUUUCAAGGUGCUGCAUGGUUGUCGUCAGCUCGUGCCGUGAGGUGUUAGGUUAAGUCCUGCAACGAGCGCAACCCCUGUCACUAGUUGCCAUCAUUCAGUUGGGGACUCUAGUGAGACUGCCUACGCAAGUAGAGAGGAAGGUGGGGAUGACGUCAAAUCAUCACGGCCCUUACGUCUUGGGCCACACACGUAAUACAAUGGCCGGUACAGAGGGCAGCUACACAGCGAUGUGAUGCAAAUCUCGAAAGCCGGUCUCAGUUCGGAUUGGAGUCUGCAACUCGACUCUAUGAAGCUGGAAUCGCUAGUAAUCGCGCAUCAGCCAUGGCGCGGUGAAUACGUUCCCGGGCCU
This 1345-nucleotide ribosomal RNA is filed under the name uncultured bacterium. Its description in RNAcentral is "bacterial SSU rRNA". It matches the Rfam family "Bacterial small subunit ribosomal RNA", at positions 28 to 1381 of the family's 1533-position model. The record is from RNAcentral.